AGGUAAGCUACUAAGAGCGAAUGGUGGAUGCCUUGACUGGUAAAGGCGAUGAAGGACGUACUAGACUGCGAUAAGCUACGGGGAGCUGUCAAGAAGCUUUGAUCCGUAGAUUUCCGAAUGGGGCAACCCAAUGUAUAGAGAUAUACAUUACCUAUAUAGGAGCGAACGAGGGGAAUUGAAACAUCUUAGUACCCUCAGGAAAAGAAAUCAAUAGAGAUUGCGUCAGUAGCGGCGAGCGAAAGCGCAAGAGGGCAAACCCAGUGCUUGCACUGGGGGUUGUAGGACUGCAAUGUGCAAGAGGUGAGUUUAGCAGAACAUUCUGGAAAGUAUAGCCAUAGAGGGUGAUAGUCCCGUAUGCGAAAAACAAACCUUAGCUAGCAGUAUCCUGAGUAGGGCGGGACACGAGAAAUCCUGUCUGAAGCUGGGUCGACCACGAUCCAACCCUAAAUACUAAUACCAGAUCGAUAGUGCACAAGUACCGUGAGGGAAAGGUGAAAAGAACUGAGGUGAUCAGAGUGAAAUAGAACCUGAAACCAUUUGCUUACAAUCAUUCAGAGCCCUAUGUAGCAAUACAGGGUGAUGGACUGCCUUUUGCAUAAUGAGCCUGCGAGUUGUGGUGUCUGGCAAGGUUAAGCAAACGCGAAGCCGUAGCGAAAGCGAGUCUGAAUAGGGCGCUUAGUCAGAUGCUGCAGACCCGAAACGAAGUGAUCUAUCCAUGAGCAAGUUGAAGCUAGUGUAAGAACUAGUGGAGGACUGAACCCAUAGGCGUUGAAAAGCCCCGGGAUGACUUGUGGAUAGGGGUGAAAGGCCAAUCAAACUUCGUGAUAGCUGGUUCUCUCCGAAAUAUAUUUAGGUAUAGCGUUGUGUCGUAAUAUAAGGGGGUAGAGCACUGAAUGGGCUAGGGCAUACACCAAUGUACCAAACCCUAUCAAACUCCGAAUACCUUAUAUGUAAUCACAGCAGUCAGGCGGCGAGUGAUAAAAUCCGUCGUCAAGAGGGAAACAACCCAGACUACCAGCUAAGGUCCCUAAAUCUUACUUAAGUGGAAAACGAUGUGAAGUUACUUAAACAACCAGGAGGUUGGCUUAGAAGCAGCCAUCCUUUAAAGAAAGCGUAAUAGCUCACUGGUCUAGUGAUUUUGCGCGGAAAAUAUAACGGGGCUAAAGUAAGUACCGAAGCUGUAGACUUAGUUUACUAAGUGGUAGGAGAGCGUUCUAUUUGCGUCGAAGGUAUACCGGUAAGGAGUGCUGGAGCGAAUAGAAGUGAGCAUGCAGGCAUGAGUAGCGAUAAUUAAUGUGAGAAUCAUUAACGCCGUAAACCCAAGGUUUCCUACGCGAUGCUCGUCAUCGUAGGGUUAGUCGGGUCCUAAGUCGAGUCCGAAAGGGGUAGACGAUGGCAAAUUGGUUAAUAUUCCAAUACCAACAUUAGUGUGCGAUGGAAGGACGCUUAGGGCUAAGGGGGCUAGCGGAUGGAAGUGCUAGUCUAAGGUCGUAGGAGGUUAUACAGGCAAAUCCGUAUAACAAUACUCCGAGAAC
Molecule: ribosomal RNA, 1535 nt
Filed under: Campylobacter coli
Lineage: Bacteria; Pseudomonadati; Campylobacterota; Epsilonproteobacteria; Campylobacterales; Campylobacteraceae
Description: partial 23S ribosomal RNA
Rfam family: Bacterial large subunit ribosomal RNA
Source: RNAcentral